This 433-nucleotide ribosomal RNA is filed under the name uncultured Coriobacteriaceae bacterium. Its description in RNAcentral is "partial 16S ribosomal RNA". It matches the Rfam family "Bacterial small subunit ribosomal RNA", at positions 341 to 792 of the family's 1533-position model. The record is from RNAcentral. Lineage: Bacteria; Bacillati; Actinomycetota; Coriobacteriia; Coriobacteriales; Coriobacteriaceae.
ACGGAAGGCAGCAGUGGGGAAUUUUGCGCAAUGGGGGGAACCCUGACGCAGCAACGCCGCGUGCGGGAUGAAGGCCUUCGGGUUGUAAGCCGCUUUCAGCAGGGACGAUUAUGACGGUACCUGCAGAAGAAGCUCCGGCUAACUACGUGCCAGCAGCCGCGGUAAUACGUAGGGAGCGAGCGUUAUCCGGAUUCAUUGGGCGUAAAGCGCGCGUAGGCGGCUUGCUAAGCGGAACCUCUAAUCCGAGGGCUCAACCCCCGGCCGGGUUCCGAACUGGCAGGCUCGAGUGCGGUAGGGGCAAGUGGAAUUCCAUGUGUAGCGGUGGAAUGCGCAGAUAUAUGGAAGAACACCGAUGGCGAAGGCAGCUUGCUGGGCCGACACUGACGCUGAGGUGCGAAAGCGUGGGGAGCGAACAGGAUUAGAUACCCUGGUA